UACGUAGGUGGCAAGCGUUGUCCGGAUUUAUUGGGUUUAAAGGGUGCGUAGGCGGCCCUGUAAGUCAGUGCUGAAACAUCCCGGCUUAACCGGGAGGGUGGCAUUGAUACUGCAGGGCUUGAGUAAAGUUGAGGUUGGCGGAAUUGACGGUGUAGCGGUGAAAUGCGCAGAUAUCAGGAGGAACACCGGUGGCGAAGGCGGCAUCCUGGACCGGCAUUGACGCUGAGGCGCGAAAGCUAGGGGAGCAAACGGG
RNAcentral lists this ribosomal RNA (253 nucleotides) under uncultured bacterium. Its description in RNAcentral is "partial 16S ribosomal RNA". It matches the Rfam family "Bacterial small subunit ribosomal RNA", at positions 524 to 776 of the family's 1533-position model. The record is from RNAcentral.